RNAcentral lists this ribosomal RNA (1391 nucleotides) under metagenome. Its description in RNAcentral is "bacterial LSU rRNA". It matches the Rfam family "Bacterial large subunit ribosomal RNA", at positions 1421 to 2773 of the family's 2925-position model. The record is from RNAcentral.
CCCUUCGGGUUGAUUGGCGGACUGUUCGACCCGAUCUGGUAUUAGGUGCACUGAGGAGUGACGCAGGGUAGUCCAACCGCGGCGAUGGUAGGCGUAAGCUGAUCCGCGGGCAAGGUGGUAGGGCGAGACAUAGGCAAAUCCGUGUCUCACAUAGCCUGAGAGCCGAGGCGGACCCGUUUAGGGGAAGUGGAUGAUCCCAUGCUGCCGAGAAAAACUUCGUAGUGAGUGUUAGAGCCGCCCGUACCCCAAACCGACACAGGUGAUCAGGUAGAGAAUACCAAGGCGAUCGAGUGAACCAUGGUUAAGGAACUCGGCAAAAUGCCCCCGUAACUUCGGGAGAAGGGGGGCCGGAUACGUUACAUCCUUCUCGGGUGGAAGCGUUGAUGGCCGCAGAGACCAGGCCCAAGCGACUGUUUACUAAAAACACAGGUCCGUGCGAAGAAGUAAUUCGAUGUAUACGGACUGACGCCUGCCCGGUGCUGGAACGUUAAGGGGACAGGUUAGCUGGUUUAGGCCGGCGAAGCUUUGAACUUAAGCGCCAGUAAACGGCGGUGGUAACUAUAACCAUCCUAAGGUAGCGAAAUUCCUUGUCGGGUAAGUUCCGACCUGCACGAAUGGCGUAACGACUUGGGCGCUGUCUCAACCGUGGACUCGGCGAAAUUGCAUUACGAGUAAAGAUGCUCGUUACGCGCAGCAGGACGGAAAGACCCCGGGACCUUUACUACAACUUGGUAUUGGUGGUCGGUACAACUUGUGUAGGAUAGGUGGGAGACUUUGAAGCUCGGACGCCAGUUCGGGUGGAGUCAUCGUUGAAAUACCACUCUGGUUGUUCUGGCUGUCUAACUUAGGUCCAUUAUCUGGAUCAGGGACAGUGCCUGGUGGGUAGUUUGACUGGGGCGGUCGCCUCCUAAAAGGUAACGGAGGCGCUCAAAGGUUCCCUCAGCCUGGUUGGCAAUCAGGUGUCGAGUGUAAGUGCACAAGGGAGCUUGACUGUGAGACAGACAUGUCGAGCAGGGACGAAAGUCGGAACUAGUGAUCCGGCGGUGGCAUGUGGGAGCACCGUCGCUCAACGGAUAAAAGGUACCCCGGGGAUAACAGGCUGAUCUUCCCCAAGAGUCCAUAUCGACGGGAUGGUUUGGCACCUCGAUGUCGGCUCGUCGCAUCCUGGGGCUGGAGUAGGUCCCAAGGGUUGGGCUGUUCGCCCAUUAAAGCGGCACGCGAGCUGGGUUUAGAACGUCGUGAGACAGUUCGGUCCCUAUCCGCUGCGCGCGCAGGAGAAUUGAGAAGGGCUGCCCCUAGUACGAGAGGACCGGGGUGGACGAACCUCUGGUGUGCCAGUUGUUCCGCCAGGAGCACGGCUGGUUGGCUACGUUCGGAAGUGAUAACCGCUC